Transfer RNA from Anaerobium acetethylicum, 74 nucleotides. It matches the Rfam family "tRNA". Rfam says of the family: Transfer RNA (tRNA) molecules are approximately 80 nucleotides in length. Their secondary structure includes four short double-helical elements and three loops (D, anti-codon, and T loops). The record is from Rfam. Lineage: Bacteria; Bacillati; Bacillota; Clostridia; Lachnospirales; Lachnospiraceae.
GUGUUUGUAGCUCAGUUGGAUAGAGCAUCGGCCUUCUAAGCCGAGGGUCUAGGGUUCGAAUCCCUACAAGCACA